AUGGAGGAAGACGCACCGGCAGAGGAAGACGAUCUGGCGGAGGUAGACGAACCGGCAGAGGAAGACGAACCGGCGGAGGUGUGGAGAAGACGACGGAGACGGCAGGUUUGUGGGCUGAACAGUGACGCGGGUUUGUGGACGGCGAAGGGAGGAAGCGAUUUGUGGAGAGACGGCGGAGAUGGUGUGGAGAGACGGCGGGUUCGUGGGCGGAGAACUGUGAUGGCGAAGGGAGAGAGCCGUUAUGUGGUUUAG
This is a non-coding RNA of Vicia faba (fava bean), 252 nucleotides long. The record is from the annotation of a GenBank genome assembly. Lineage: Eukaryota; Viridiplantae; Streptophyta; Magnoliopsida; Fabales; Fabaceae.